Non-coding RNA from Vicugna pacos (alpaca), 1010 nucleotides. NCBI's taxonomy places the organism in Eukaryota, Metazoa, Chordata, Mammalia, Artiodactyla, Camelidae. The record is from RefSeq and is a predicted model, not a curated record.
GGUCUCCCUGGAGGAGGGAGACAAAUCACAAGUUUAAAUCACUUGGGCUCACCCACAAAAAAAGGAGGCCCCCCCCCCCAGGAAGAAACACUGAUCUGCUUAAGGCAGUAACACCAGGACUAUAACCCAGACGUCUUCCUGAGAAACAAGUUUUUACAUGGCUGGCUCUUCAAAUGUCACCAUCACAAAGAGGCCUGACUCCUCAAUCUACUGUCUGCUCCUCUCCUGCAGUUCCUCACCAUGCUACCUUCAGUACGUCAACCAGCUCCUCCCGACUGAGGCUCUCUGGCCGCAGCAGCCCAGGGAAAGGCUGGUUCCCCACGGGUCGGAACCAUUUGCUGGAGCCUCGAGGUUGCAGCUGAUGCCUGGAAAAGGUAGGCAUAGGGCCAGGCACACAGUGAGUGCUCAGUAAAUAAUAAAUGAAGCAAUCGGGGAGGAGUAGAAUCUGUCAGAAGAAGCUGGCAAGAGGCCGUGCUCUGCUGCUCCCCAGCUUUGCGGCUUUGGACUAGUUGGAUGCCUCUGCCUCAGUGUCUACAUCCACCUAAUGAGGUAAGAAUUGUCUAGACCCCACUGGAGCAGCUGGGUUUGGAAACACUACCAUAAUAAUACUUGUCUGAUGAUUUAGCAUAUUCGCAUGCUUCCUGUGAUGCUCAAAAGUAAAAUAAAAAGUUUUUUUUAAAGUUCAUUAGACAAUACAAAUGACUAUUGUCCAUAGAUAUGCAAAUUAAUUCUGUUCUAUGGAAGGACAAUCAUUGCAACCCUCCCGCCCUCGUGGAAAAAUCCAAUUUUGUAUUUAUAAGUUUAUCUCAGCAUUCCUUUUUUUAAAAUUGAAGUAUAGUUGAUUUACAGUGUUGUGUAUCUCAGAAUUCUUGAUGGAUCUAUAUGUAGGUGAGGCUUUUUUUUUGGUUUUUAUUUUCUUUAAUUGAAGUAUAGUCAGUUUACAAUGUUGUGUUAAUUUUUGGUGUACAGCACAGUGAUUCAGUUAUACUUCAUAUAUCUAUAUCUACAUA